This 246-nucleotide ribosomal RNA is filed under the name uncultured bacterium. RNAcentral describes it as "partial 16S ribosomal RNA". It matches the Rfam family "Bacterial small subunit ribosomal RNA", at positions 538 to 783 of the family's 1533-position model. The record is from RNAcentral.
GCGUUAUCCGGAAUUAUUGGGCGUAAAGGGCUCGUAGGCGGUUCGUCGCGUCCGGUGUGAAAGUCCAUCGCUUAACGGUGGAUCCGCGCCGGGUACGGGCGGGCUUGAGUGCGGUAGGGGAGACUGGAAUUCCCGGUGUAACGGUGGAAUGUGUAGAUAUCGGGAAGAACACCAAUGGCGAAGGCAGGUCUCUGGGCCGUAACUGACGCUGAGGAGCGAAAGCGUGGGGAACGAACAGGAUUAGAU